CAGCACAACGUUCCAUUGAGGCGAGCGCGUGCUCCGGCGAGCACAUGGGCAGCGGGGCCCGUUCCGCUCCGCGCCCCUCCGCGCCGCGCCGCCCCGCGCCGCCCCGCCGACCCCUUCCCGGGGAGGGGGCGCGGUCCCAGCCCCACGCUUCCCACCAGUCUGGAGUAACGUUUGGAGGAGCCCGGCAGCGUGGUAUUUUCAGUAGCUCCCAAGGAUUUUUAGGAUCAUGGGAUGUAUGGACCCCCAAAACCCUCUGGAGAAUGUUGGCUGUGGAUAAAAGCAUCUGGAAGUUCCUGCUGGGUUUUUACCCUGUUUUUUUCUGGGUCACCUUGUGUCAUUUGGGAAAGAAGCCUCUCUGUCCUGAGGAUUAUAGGAAACCGGUCGCUUACUGGAAUACCUCCACUUGCGUUUUAUCAAGAUGGAGCCAUUGCUUUACCCAGCAGAAGGAUAUUUUUUCUUCUCCCAGACCUUUUCCAGUGCAGCAGCACUCAUGUCCAGCAGGUCUCAUUUGACUGCAAAAAGGAGAGAGGAGGAGCGUGUGGAAGGGAGGUCAGAUCCUGCCAGGGUUUCCUGGGAAAUGAGGAGCCUGGAGUCAGGAUAAAGACCCACAGCCAGAGCAUCUGCUGGAGCUCCCUGGAUGAAGCGCUGAGGCUGCUGCUCCCUGGGCAGGAGCCCACCAGGCAGUUUGCCCAUAAACUGCCAGUAUUUAGUAUGGUCUCUUGUUCUGCAAUGCUUCCUUCUGUGUUUGAAGCACGCUCUGCAUACUCAUAAUAUCUUUGAGUGAAGCCAAAAUAUAGAGGACCACCAAAACUUGCGUAAAAGAAUGAGACAGCUGGCAAUCUUUCCCACCAGAAAUCUUCCAGAGUCUGCAAUGUCUGAAUUAAUGUGGUCCAUGGGACAAAGAUGUUCAGGGAGCAGGAGCUGCACGUAGGACACGGCAGGGAUGCUGGGCCAUGAGGUUCUGGGUGCUGCAGGUGCAUCCGCUGUUUGCAUGAUGAAGCUUGAUGAGCUGUGAUUGGGCUUGGAUUAUCGUAUUUCAGAAGACUUUCUGAACUCUCCAGGCUACCCUUCCCAGACUGUGGGGAUGGGUGGGAUUAAGUUCCUAUCUCCAGUAUCAUACAAGCGGAAAGAAGGGAGUUGGCUGCUUCGCACAAGUAAACAAAAUUGUUGCUGUGUUGCUGUUGGGAGCCUUCAAAAUGAGAAAAGCCUGGAGUAUAGCCCAUGUUUUAGAGAUGGAUUUUGCCUGGGAGGAGGGGACACAAGGGAAGACGUAGGAGGAAGGAGGAGAGGUGAUACUACAAGCCAGCUUCCUGACCUCCAGAGUGGGACUGAAGCUUCAUAACAAGGUUUUCUAACUAUGGAAGCUCUCCUGAGGAGCUGCAUCAUGCACUGCUGGCCCCAAGGAUGGGAUGCAGAGCUGGGAGUGAGGAUGAACUACAAUGUGCCGCCGGGAGUUGCUUUAGCAAGGAGAGAGGCUUUCUGGCAUGUUAUACGGUGCUGAAAGCCAUGCUACCCUUGACAGCAAAAAUCCUUAUCCUUCUUGUGGUUUUUUCCAGGACAGCUGAUAUUUCCUGUUAGAGAUGCUUUGUAUGCAAAUCAAGGCGGUACAACAAAAAAAAGUCCUGAAAGCAAUCACACUGAUAAACUAAGACCACCGGGGAAUUCCUGCUUAUCAUUUUUUAUCUUUUCUUUUUUCAGUUCUGUACUAGAUACUUCUUUGCCUGUUUUUUCUUACAGUCUUUAAUGUUUGCUCUGACAGACCUCUUGCUUAUAAAAUACAGUGCUUCUUGCAUUUUGCAGAGCUCCAUGUCAGUCUACAUGAAUAAGAGGCAGUAAGUGCUGGGAAUUGGGGUUAACAGUCACUGUGUUUCACCUUUGCCCUGCAUUGCUCUGGUGCUUUCUGGUGUUCAAGAAAGAGAUGAACCUCAUACUGCAGAUUGCCACGUGCCUGUAGUGAUGGUCGACCUGGAAGGUGAGCCCAGAAACCUUCAGGAACCUCAGGAAAGGAAAGAGGAGAGGAGGGAAACAAGAAGCAGCCAGCAAGAGUUUGUCUAGUAACUUAAACAGGAGCAGGAUUUGACCUUCCCGAGGCACUUCAAGAGAUGUCGUGCUCAACACUGCACUGCAGUGGUGUGAAUUGGUCAUCUCCUUGCUCCAGCAAAACAAACUCCCAUCUGCCCAGCCUGUGCCCUAUAGGUAUCACUACAUGUGCAAGGGGUUGAUCAGAGCUGGGCUCCCACCCUGCUGCCAGCAGCAGCAGCUCAUCAAUGCUACAGGUUGUGAGGGUGAAAAAAAGACUUUUAGAAGCAAAGCAAGAAAAGGACAUGUCAGAGCAAGAAGGAGCUACAAAACUAGAGAGUAUUCCCGUGUGAGUCCAGAGAUACCCACUGCAGCCCGGGUCUUGUUGAAUCACACUGUGGUUGCUCUGGCCUUUGUGUGGGUAACGGUGAUAAUCACUGUGUGUGGUGUUGGGUUUUAUUCUUUGGUUUUUCUUAAAUGUAAAAUUAACAGUCAAAUUGGCGUUGGUAGGGCAGCGAGCCUGGUGUGGCUUUUAUCUACCCCGAACCUGGGGACAAAGGAGGAGAGGAAAAUGGCUUGACCAGUUUGGUGGCCGUGCACUUAACGGUCCUGGAGUUCAAAGCAAAGGACACAACAGUCAGGCACCCAAACCCGCCUGGGCUCCAACUGAUAAGUCGCAUUUCAAAGCAAAAGGCAAUCCUGAAGGGGCUCUGUCGAGUGGCUGAAGCCUGCAAUGCUGAGUCUUCUUUAAAAGGGGAUUUCAUAAGGAGUAAUAUGAACAGAAAUGGCUCUUCUGUGGUUUUACACAUUCCAGGCAUGCCAGGACUGUUCCUGUCAAGGAGGGGCAGUCUCUGGGGUUUUAGGUUCUUUUUUUUUUUUUUGGCAAAAUAUUUGCCACAAACUAGCAGCUGAAAUAGUGAAAAAUAAAUGAGAGUUGCAAAAUCAUUACAGUAGCAGUAAUGGAAACUGUGAGGCUUACACUUAAACUGGCUGUGGGGUUUCACCCCAUCAUCUACGCUGCUGAGCUGUUGGGGUUACUACUUUUGCCUGCUAUGACUGCUUCAGGAUGGAUGAUUUAAAAGCAGAGCUUCAACUGUUGGUUGCCCAGAACCUCAAAAAACAGCGCUUUAGUUUUUUUCAGAAGCUAUGCCUUUUCAGCAGAACCACUGUUAAGUAUAAAACCCUUCAGUGUCAGUGCAGUUAUGUGGAUAUACAGCAUCUUUACAUUGUACCAGCAGCAUUGAUUUCUGCAGAUCUAUGGGUACAGAAAUGGGAUACAGCUACUCUUGCUUCAAGUGCACUUAUUUUGCUUUCAAGCAGACUGUGCCAGGUUGGUUUGCACCUGUACACUUCAACACAAAGUUGAUUUUAAUUGAUUUGAGAGCUUCCACGCACAAAAUGACAGUGCCUUCAACCUUAAAGAGCACCUUAACUGUGCCUUAAAAGAGUCUGAAGUUUCACAUGCAGUAAGGCACUAGAUGGUUCGUGUAGACCUGACCUGUUAGAUAGGUGUCUAAUUCAUAAGCCUGUUCUUCCAGGCAUGUGUGCUGCUCCUGUUGCCAUAGUCCUAUGAGCUGUGUAGGUAGCAGGAGCUCAUGGAUAGCUGAGAAAGCUACGACCAGAGGUGUUACUGCCAUCACCUUGCUAGCUUGGGUGCCAAAAGGAGCAUGUCUGGAAGUGAGACACCCUGCAUAAACACUCAGUACCUUUAUCAGCAGCACCGUGCUGGCCACAGCCAGCUCAGCACUUUGGCAAGCUGGAACUGUACCUUCACCUUCUCUGCAGAUGAGACUAAGCCCUCUGCAGGGGGAGCAGAAAACUGAGCCAGGGUCAUCCUGGCAGAGGCUGAGCCAUGGGGCCAUAGAUACCCACCCUGAGAAUUCACUUUUCAGCCUGGGUUUGGCCACGGCGUGAGUGCAGGCAGAGGGUGAGAUGCAGAGGGUGAGAAAGCGUCUUUGAAAGUGGCAAUAAAGGAGACACGUUAGGAAUUAACCUUCUGGCAUGGUUUUACAUAAAGGUGAAUAUGGUUAUUUCAUGAUGAACAGGAAUGGGACUGGAUUUACCCUAGUGAGACCACAUUUGGAGUACUGUGCCCAGUUUUGGGCCCACCAGUUUAAGGACAGGGAACUGCUUGAGCAAGUCCAGCAGAGAGUUACCAAGAUGAUCAGGGGACUGGAGCAUCUCCCUUACGAGGAAAGGCUGAGAGGCCUGGGUUUGUUUAGCCUGGAGAAGAGAAGGCUGAGGGGGGAUUUCAUCAAUACCUAUAAAUAUCUAAAGGGUAGGUAUCAAGAGGAUGGGGCUGGGCUCUUUUCAGUGGUGCCCAGUGACAGGCCAAGGGGCAAUGGGCCCCUUGUCACAGGAAGUCCCACCUCAAUAUGAGAAAAAAACCCCUUCCCUGUGCGGGUGCCAGAGCAGUGGCACAGGCUGCCCAGGGAGGCUGUGGAGUCCCUUCCCUGGAGACAUUCAAACCCCACCUGGAUGCGUUCCUGUGCCCCCUGCUCUGGGUGUCCCUGCUCAAGCAGGGGGGUUGGACAAGGUGAUCUCCAGAGGUCCCUUCCAACCCCUGCCAUUCUGUGAUUCUGUGGAUUUAGGAUGUGGUGCCUGAAACCCCUUCCCACCCUCUAACACAGGCUGAUGUUACAGAGGAAUCUCACAGCUGUCACCUGGGCUGUUGUGGGUCUGUGGGUGGAGGAACUUUAAUCACUUUAAUCAUUUGCUUGUCAUCAAAUGCCGCACUGGCAAGAUACAAGGAAGGAAGAGCUGGUGUUAAUUCAGUGCUCAACGUAAGUAUUUUUCACCUGACAGAAGUCUGGUCUUGUAGCCUUCUGGGCUGCUUGCCAUUUUGUGUUUGUUUCCUUAAAAAAAAAAAAAAAAGCGCUUUCUUUUCCCCAUCAGUGCUUCCAACCAGAGACAUAUGGAAACAAAAGGUCAUAAGGUGCAGUCAGCAGUAAGCUACCUUUUUACUGGGCCUGUCUUGCAGGGGAUAGCUCUGAAGUGCAUUUUUCUCUGGCCACUCAGGGUCUCUGCUGUGGAAGUAUUUAUUGCUGUGAAACUGUAGCACACUUUACAAGUGGCAGAAAAAACUACUUUUGUAACCAAAUAAUUGUGUUUAACUUACAAGUCUCACAUAGGUGCAUGUUUGGAAAAUUUUUGUUUUGAACCAAAAUAAGUUUUCCACUGUGCCAUCCAGUGUGGCAAAACGAGUGGACCUUGAGUUUCAUUUUAAUAUAGAAUUAAUCCAUUUGACUGCAGCAGGUUAAAUUGAGAUGCUCUGUUAUCCUUCUCUUGGUGUGUCCUCACUUGAUAUUUUGUGCUUCAGAAUUUCCAUUUUCCCUCUUUUUGAUGGUUUGAGAGUUUUAAUAGAGAUGGCAAAAACAUAAACAUUUUUGUCCUUGGGAAGGCUAUGGCAAGUUAUGCAGUGGUGAAGAGAUGCUGACAACCUGUAGAAGAGCCGGUUUUUGAAGCAUGGGAAGUGGUUAGCGCCUCAUUUGACGUCCUCACAUCAAAGCUGGACAGCACGCUGGUCAAGAUGCUCCGUUUGAACCACAAAUUACAGGGCUUUGGGCAGAAAUCACUGGAUGAAAUUCUGUGGUCUUUAUUAGGCAGAAGGUCAGACAAAAUCAUUUAGCUGGUUUCAGCUUUUAGAAUUUAUGAAUCACAUAGUGAGGGGUUUUUUUUGAGUUUGCCUGAAAAGUUUGCCUUGGUAGCAUGCAGAAAACAAACCCCAUCUGUUCUCUCAUCCUUUCAUCAUACUGUGUUGCUUUCGAAUUGUCCUAGGAGGAGGAUAAAGUUGGGCUUGUUGGGCUUCAAAUUUCAGUAUGGGUGGCAAAGGCAACUCUACCUUGACUAUUAUGGGCCUCCCAUGACCACAGGAACGGAUGGUACCUAAUGCCAGCCCUGAUUUAACAAACAUCUGAGGACCGGCUCAUCACCACAGCAAAGCCAACAACUGGCUUUUCUCUGUUCCUCAUGGGAAUUGUGCACCAUGGGAUCCUGCAAUGAGGCAAAGAUGGGAGGAAAGCUCCAAAGGCAGCGUAUGUGCUUUUGUUAGUGUCCAGUUACUUCAUCUGCAAGCCACCGAACUUGGGACUGCCAGAACUGGCAGGAAAGAGACACUUUUGUUGCCUGGAUGUGUAAGAGUAGCUGAACUCAGCACCCACACUUCUACACAGCACCUUGUGAAAACAGGGAAAUUUGGGGAAGCCCAGAGCAAUGCAAUAGCUGGAGAAAAGAAGGGGAAAAUCAUGAGCCAGAAAUGUAAUGAAAAUAAAAAUAAUGUGAAAUAAUCUUGUUUUCUUUCCCUUUAUGCAACUGGGAUGAAAAUGCAGGUGUGAGCAGAGCACUUGCCAUCUGCAGCCUUUUCUUCCCUGCCAAAUGUGACUUGUGACAUGGUGCCACCCGGCACUCAGCGGUUUUAGCAGUUCAGUGGACAUCCCUGGUUGGUUGCCCCAGGUUUGGCCUGUCUUUGCGGCAGCGUGGACCCACUCCCCUUUGUAAGAAAGAGCUCCGAUGCCUUUCUUGUCCUAUAGUAAAACUUCCACCAGACCUCAACAGGGACCGGACAAUGCUGGGCAGAGUUUAAACUAUCAGGUCAAAAGGCUUCGGAGCCAUCUCCUCCUAAGGCAGGCAUCUAAAAUAGGUAGGUUGCCCCCUGGUAAUGGCUGUUUGCCUCCAGUGACUCUGAGGGGAGGCCAGACAGCUGGUUGAGAUAUGGACUACUGCACUUUGGAUGUCUGAAGCUCCAUGAGAUGAACCCCUUCUCACCACCUGCAUGAGUGAGAAGGAGCUACUAGAACAAAGCAGCUAAUGAAGAUCCAUCUGACACCGUCCGAGAUGAAAAUAAUACAGAAACUUUAAUCAGCUCUCACAAGCCGAGCGGUCCCUGGAGGUCCCAUACCAAGCCUGACCCACUUGCUGGGCCCCAGCAGCGCGGCACUGGGCAUUCCGCCUGGCUUCGGAGGAACGAAAGGACAGCAAUCUAAAAAGAGACGGGAGCACAGGGGAAGGCAGUGAGUGGUAAGACUUUUUAAGAACUAGUUGGGGUAUUUUGAUCAUUAUUAAAUGCAAACCCACCUUCUGCAGCAUUUCUUUUUUUGAGCUGCUCAGAAAGGAGGGAGGUGUUCGGAGAGAUCUGUUUUCAGCCUGAUCAAAUGAUUUCCCAGUUCCAUCCGUGCACCCGCCUGCUGCAUCCCAGUCUCUCCAGCCGUACCAUGCUGGGGAAGCUGCUGUGAGCGUGUGUCCUCGGGGCUGAGCUCCAGCACUGUGACUGGCUGCCCCCACCCCAGGCUGUAGCCCGCUUUGCGGUGACGGAGCAAGGGCUCUUGCCACCAGCAAGUAGCCGCAUGACUGUUUUGCCAGAUGUCCGCGCUUGCAGGCAAGCCUGCCUGCGCAGAGGCUUGGGAUGAACCCAGGCUCCCAUCCGUAAGGUCUCUAAGGGAUGUGACCGCUUUGCAAUGGCUUCAGAUUGGGGCAUCUAAGUGAAAAAAGCGACAGUGGGUAAAACUCAAAUCCAAAAUCUCUGGGCUUUGAGAAAAUUAUAGCAGUGGACUAUGCAGCAAACUGUAAUCCACAUCCCCUUCCAGGAAGGUGUUGCUGGGAAGAUGGUUCCCACAUGCUCCUUGGAAGGGCCGCUCUGCUGCCAAAUGAGCACCGGUCUUUCACCCGCCUGUGUGUACCUGUCCCACAAGCUGCAGCUGGGAUGCCACUAGUCCUCGCCAGACCCUGGGAGGAUGCGAGGUGCUGGCACCCGCCGGCAUGCCGAGGCCUGGCUGACUCCCCCGGCAGAGCGACGCUCCAGGGCCUGUGGACAACAGUCCAGCAAAGUGAGAGGAGAACAAACCGCCUCCUCCCUGUGUACAGCACACCUUGAUUUUCUGAUCUUUUGUUCUCUUUUUCUUUGUCUGACAAACUGAAGUACAAACCUCUUUCACCUGUUUGUCAUUUGUUCACUGGUGGUUGACUAAAGGAUUUGUGUUGUUUUUUUUUAAUUGGUAGGGUGAUGAUGUAAUUAUAAGCCUAACAUUCAUGGUAUAUUUUGGUGCCAUCUGAAAAGCGUGAGUCGUUACAGAGAAUGUGAGAAUGGUGGGGUUUGUGGGAUACAUUUUUUUAAUCCCUGAGUUUCAGUCUCAGUUUGGAAUGAAUCAAACAUGUUUCAUGGGACUGAAAAAACUGGGAUUUUUCCCCCAUUCUUGCUGCAGUGUAGGGGUUUUGUUUGGUUUUUUUUUUUUUCAUUCAAAAUGUUUACUCACAUAUGAAGAUUUCCAUAUGUUAAAUGGUUCCUGGUAAGUUGGCAGCAAAAGGAAACAGAGGAGAAGACAAGCGUUGGGUUUUGGUUAUUUCCGCGUUUUUUUCAAUUUUAUUUAGAUUUGAGCAAAAUGGCAAGCAUUUCAUUUUGACCUACUUUCAAAUCUCAUUAGUCAAUGAAGAGAGGCUGGGAGGUGUGAUCAUGGGAACAUCAAAAAUACAGCAGAUCAGGACAGGAGAGACUAACAGCAAUCCUGCUCUGAUGGUCAGCCCAGACCCCGCUAUUUUAAUGUAUCUCAUCUUUUUUUGUGUUAGCAGUAGAAGACAUCCAGUGAGUGAAAGGGGAUGAGGAGGAAGGAGCCACCAGCGCUCCUCUCCCCAUUUUCCUUGUCUCCCUUCCAAAUGACAGCAGCCUGCAUCUCACAGUCACCAUGGUUGCAUCAAGGUCUUUAUUUUCAUGUAGGACUCAUCAAUGCACAUAAGUGCAGAUGGACAGACACGUGCUCACUCUAGUCCCUGGGCUCUGGAGCCUGCCAUCAUUACCAAGGCUGAACUCAAAAGCCUUGCCCAGAGGAAGGAUAUAUCAACUCAAAUUAGCAGUGCAGGAGCAUGGUUUCAAUACUCCCCAGUCUGAGCAAACUCACCAGUUGCUUGCUUGGCCUGUGGGAAUAUGGACCUUUAGCUGUGAUUGAUCCAAGAUUUUGCAAAGCUCUCUUCUCCACAGCAGCUCUGCCUUUCUAAUUCCAGGAAAAGCACACCAGCAGCUUCAGCAGGGUUUGAAAAAGUCUAUCCCAGAGUUAGUGUCUUCCUGAAGAACCAGCAGGAGAACCACAUUUUAUUUAAGACAAAGGCCAGCUGAGCAGCUACAGAAAAGGUCUUGGGCAGCGAACCCGAGAGGUGCACAGGAUGCUGGUACAGCUGCCCUGGUGCCUGGAGCGAUGCUGGGAGUGCCCAGCCUGGGGCGAGCAUGGCAGUGACACCGUUGGACUCUCCUACCCACUUGGGGCUCUGUAGCCCCAGGGUACUGAGAUGCUACCACAAUGCAGUGCUGUCUCAACCAGGUCAAUAAAGAAAACCACUCACUGCUUGUAACUGAAGGGACAUAUGGCUCUGCUUUGCUUCUUCAGAGCUGCCCAGAGUUUGUGAGUGACUCCUUAUCCAAAGCCUUGUCUCCCUCCUCCCAGUGCCCGAGCACCAGGUGACAAGCAGAAGUACAAAAUCCAUGUCCCCAGCCGUCUGCAGAGAGAGAAGAAGAGGUACCCAGGGACCAGCCCUGGCAUUGCUCCCUGAAGCUGGUGAGGCUAUUACUGCCUCCAGCUGCCCUGCCCGUCCAGUCGUGUUUAUUAGCCUCUGCAGCAGAUUGGGACUGGGAAUCAAAGGGAUAAAACGCAGUUUGGGGUCUGUGAACAGUUGCAGAAACCUGGGGCAGGGAGAUGGGAGCAAGGAGUGAUAAUGUGCUAAGCCACUGCAGGUGCUGGAUCAGUGGAGGGUGAACCAGCCCCUUGCUGCCCACACCAACAGCAGGCUCCUGCCGAGCCGAACGACUCAAACAGCGGACACCUGGGGGAGAUUUGCUCCUGUCUUCUGGCACCUUCUCUUGCCCUGGUUGGCAGCCGUUGUUGGAUGUGUUGCCUCAUGCCAAAUCUAUUCAUAGAUCCCUAAUCCUCUUCAGCCAACCAGCUUGGUGUCGUGGACUUUCUUCUGGGAGCCAGAUAUGUCAGUACCAUUAUACAUGUGGCUUUUGAGUGACUUGUGCAAGGCCAGGCAGCAAGCCUGUGGCUGAGCAGGUGUUGAAAUCUAGCUCUCCCAAGCUUGGGGUUGGCAGCCCUUCCACCAGGAAAUCCUUCGUUUAACUUUCCACCACAGUGGAUGGGGUUGCAUCGAUGUAGGAGGGAAGUCUCCGUGCACUCGCGCAUCUCUUCCAGCCCUUCUUCACCUACCCGCACCUCUCCCUGAAGGCACCUACUCUCAAGGAAAAGAAAUACUACUCAGUGCCCAGGAGAGAGCAGAAAGGGAUCUGGAUUGCCUCUGGCACUGUGCACCAGAGGAAGGAAUGGGACAGUUUUGGGCAAGGUUCAAGGCAGGUCGUGCAGGUUUGCAAAGUGCUCCUGCAGGGCUCCGUCAAUGGCUGUUGUCCGUGAGAGCCUGUCAGGUGUAGCAGCAGGUUUCUGUGCCACCCUCAUUUCUCUCCUCUUCAAAGAGGGAAAAAAGCUGCCCUGGAACAGGCUGACCUUUAGCAUAAUUCUUUCUUUUUUUUUUUCCCCAAGUCAGGGGCACUUGAGUGAAAACUGAAGAGGGCUAAAGCAACCUGAAUUUUUCAGCUUUCCUUGUAACAGUGACAGGGCUGUUCUUCCGCUCUUGGCAUUAAGCAAGAAAUCAAUGUUACUGCGGGAGCAAACUCCCAAACAGGUGGCGAUCACACACAAAUUAACCUGAACGAGAGCAGGAGGCACCACGUCCCCCUGCAGACCCGCCAAGCAGAGAGGAGAUCUCAUCACCCUUUGUUUGUGCUCAGAGUGUGGCUGUCCGGAGGAUGGUGCCCAAAGAGAUAAGGCUCUGGGCACAGAUGUCUGGUUUGAUUAUUCUUUUCCUUUUUGGAACAAACCAUAUGGCAGUACGGGCAGCACAGAUAGCUGGCAAUCAAAAUUCCUGGGCUCCCUCCCUGACUUCACCGUUCGCUCAUUUAAUUUUCAAAGCAGUUUUUAUGCAUCAGCAAAACUUGCUGCCUUGAACCUCCCCAUCCCCUUAAAACAAGAGCUCUCCCUCAUUACUGGAGGUGCUUUUGAAAAUAGUAACCACAUCUUGCUUUGCUAUCACAAAAUUAGAUGCACUUAAUGUUUGUAAACUACUUUGGCACCAACAGAUAAAAGGUGCUACAGACAGGUUGCUAAUCAGUUUGAUUAAGUAAAGCACCUAAAGUUUGCCACUGCUGCUGGAGGAUUGCAGGCUGAUCCAUCUAUAACCCGGAGGAGUAAGAUGAAUUAGGUACGAUAAGGAUUGUUUGGUUUCUGGUCCGUCAACCAGUGAAUGAAAUGACUCGGUGUUUAUAUGCCAGGUCACAGAGAAAAGUUUCUUGCGAUUGGAAAUGAUUAGGCACACUGAUUAAUGUUUCCAGUGCUCUUUGAUCCAGAGCUGCCAGUUGGAAUGAGUCUUGCUGCACAGAGACAUCCCGACUGCCUCGUAGCAAAAGUGCAGGGGGUAGAAAAUUGAAUGAAAAAAUGCGGGUGGGGAUGGGAAGGCUCUGCCGUAAGAUAUGCUCUUUUUUCCAUCAGGGACUCCAGGGUUGUGUUCUUUGAAUCAUCCUCUUAUUCCUGGAAGUCAAGGCAGUUUGUAACUCGCAUUGUGCUUGUCAGGUUUAUUCAUUUUAAAGAAAAUGUUCGGGAAGAUUGCCAAGUCAUCUAAACAUCCAGUACUGAUAAGGACCUCAGGGUCUGCUAAGUUAAGAAGAAAGCAUUCCAGGUUCAGGAGAAGCAUUAAAAUGUAGCACUUUCUGAGUAGUCUGCAGCUUUUGUGAAACUGUUGAUAUUUCUCUUAUGUGGAGGUGCCAUCUCCUGCAUGCCUCCUUGUGAUGGAUGUUUCUUCUUUCAGCCGUAGGAUUUCCUAUUUUUAACCCUCAAUUAGGAAGUCCCCCUUUCAUCAUAGGUGAGAUAUUUGAAUUAGUUCCCUAAGACAAGACACAGGAAGAUUUGCUUGGAUAAGAGGAAUAAUCCUCACAACUUCUUAUCAUUCCCACAUCACCAGACUGUUUGUCUUCAUUAUAUUGUGUCUCUAUCAUACUUUAGGCAUUAUGGCUGAGCCUUGGACCAACUGGGAGCCCACAAAGACAACUGCAUUGCCCACUACAAUUUCUUUAUAACCAGGACUGCAGUGUUUAUCGUCCUCACUGUCAGGCUUGUCAUCCACACUUGGUCCUUCUGGGGUGUUGCCCUCUUUUGUGCAAAGUUGUGUAUACAGGAUGAGAUUUCUAAUAAAAAUCAGAGGAUUGCCCUGGUCCCAGAGCAACCAGUUAGCAGGUGGUGAAUGGGAAUUCAAUAAAGCUCUGGAAAAUUUUUAAGGUGAAGAACCUAAAAUGCCUGGGUGUACCAAGGAGCUGAAUUGCAGAUACCCACAUCCAAGGGCGUAAAAGUAUUCCCAAAUCACUAUUUGUUCACUAAGUAUUUUGGGGGAGGCCCCUGAUCCAUAGCAAUUUCUCACAAAAUGCUUCUACUGCAACCCCAGGCGGUUCGGCAGUUAUGGCUGCUUCUGUAGGGAAGAGAAGAGGCAGGAGCUGGGGCUGCCCCUUCCUCAGGCAGCCCAAGGUCUUCCCUACUGCCUAUGGCCACCCCUGUGCUUGCAGGGAGAGGGGUAGAGCACUGGGUGAGCACUGGGCAUUCUGGCCAUCCCGUAUUUCUCUUUGCUUGUGUUUGUGCUGAAGACUUCUGAUUUUAUGAAACAUAGGAAAACUUUUGAAAUAUUGGAAAUGUUCAGGAGCUGAGAAACUGGUGGGUGAAAAGUAGGGCCCAGUGAAUCCCACUGGGGGUGUAGGUCGGUGUAAGGAGGAAGUUGCAAUGCUAUUUUUACCAAACUCGGCUGUUUCUUUGGGUGUGCCUGCUUUUUCCAUGUUUUACUAAGCAUGAGAGCUUGCAGAGACCAGCACUGAGCAGUUCUUCUCUAACACAGGAGGCCCAUGUCCCAUCUCCCACUCAAGUCAGUCACCUGUCCUGACAUCUGACCACCAUUUCAUAUCCCCAGACAGGAUCUGUGCCUUCCCUGCACUCACAGCCCCAGGACCACAGCUGGUCCCCAUCCAAAGGCUCUGAUCUCUGAUAGUGCAUGAACUCAUCCCCAGGCUGGGCUGGCAGCUUUAGGGUUUUGCUCCUCUGCUCAGCUGUUUUCACACAAUGGAUUGAAAUCUUAUAAUCUUUCAGUUCUCUGGCAUGUUUGGUGCCAGUGUAGUCAGCAGAGGGAAGACAGACAGACAGACGUCUCCUGGACUGCGUUCUGUGGGAAACUGGUAUAAAUACGAGCAUACAUCAGUUUCCUGCCUUUGUGAAAUUGUGCUUCAUGCCUGUUUUCAAGCCUAUGUUAUCUUCCUGUGCAUGAAACAGUAUCAAUUUAAUUGAAGAUAAUUUUCACAAAAAUAGGUGCCUGCUCUGCCUACUUUCUAAUUUCCCAGUGGCUCCGCAGUGGCUGCUUGGCUGCUGUCUGCUCUGCUACUAAUGGUCCCGCUUUCCUCCUCGGCUUGUGUGGUUGCCCUUGGCAUGUUGCUGGGACAGGGAGCAGUGACGUAGGGUCUCCUGGAAGCCUGUGGAUGGGGCCAAGCAAAACACAGCUGGGCAUCACCCCAAGUACCUCAAGGAUUGCUGCACCGAGCGGGUCCCAUUGUCUCAGACAUCUCAUUGUUCUUCAUAGCGACGGAGGUGUCUGUAUCACUCUUGCUUAUGGCAAGCUAGGAGCUGGGGCCAGGGAAGGGAGGAGUUUGGGAUUAGACAUGUCUCCAGCUCCUCCGGGUAGGAAUCACUGCUUAUCUGAAGCAAUUUUGGAGUGGUAUUUCGGGUGUGGCUACCGCAAUGGAGACAGUUUCACACUGGCGGAAGCCACUCCAAAGGUGUGCCAUGGUGCUUGGUGGACCCGAUGCCUCCCCAGGCACACGCCACUGGUGCUGCCCCAGCUCACUGCCAUCCUGCUCGCUGCCUCACUUGCUGGCUGCUCCUGCCAAAGCCAGGUCUCCUUUCCUCCUGCCCUCCCCAUGCAGGAUGGCAAAGCAUUGGCGUGAAUGACAAACCCACCCUCCUUAUCGUGUCCCCCUCAAUAUGGAUCCUAGCAAGGAAAUGGUGGUGGGAUGGCAAGUUCAAAGAUGCUCAGCCAAAAAUCACAGAGGUUGAUAGGUUUGCCUCGUUAUUGUACCUCAGUUAACCCUUCAGUUACUGGCCCUGAGGUGGUUUAUCUGUGAGGCUCUGUUUAUCUCUUGGGCUUGUAGCUCAAGCCAUGACAGGGGCUUCUGGUGGGCUGAGGCCUUUGGCUGCAGCCAGUUUUGCCUUUACCGGCAACAGUCACCUUUUUUUCCUCACCUUUAUGGGAGGUUGCUGCACCCACUCAGAAGCUAGGCCAUGCAUGCCAGCUCAUGUCCAGGAGGCGGAAGGGCAGGGCUUGUGCUUUGGGCUGGCAGACAAUGUGGAGCAUGAAACAAGUCAGCAGUCAGGGCAACCAUGGCCAGCGAAAAGCAUGAGACUCACUGCCCCUCUGGGCAGGGUUAGACUGGGCAGAAACCUGGCAGGGAGGAGGUCUGCCCAUGGUUAGGGUGCAACCCAGGCCAUUAAAAGUCUGGGUAUGUGGGAGCUGGAGCUGCUGUCUGAGCUCACAAGAGAUCUUUAACUCUUUAUAUCUUGGACACUCAUGGGAAACAAAUACUGUUGCAUCCUGCUUUCUGCUCACAAUUCAAAAGCUCAGGACAAUUUUCCCCCCGACAUAAAUACAUAGCAAAGUAUAUAGCAAAGAAACAGAAAGGAAAUACAGAAACACAGACAAGUCUAGGUUGGAAGGGACCUCCCAGGACCAUCUGGUCCAACUUCUGUUGAAAGCAGGGCCUUAGACAAGGUAAUUCAAGGCCCAGUCCAGCCAAGUCUUCAAUAUUUUUAGUGAGAAAGAGUCCACUCUCUUCAGGCAACUGAUCCUACUCUUUAGUUGCUCUCACAGCAAAGAACGUUUUUAAUAGCCAGGUGGAACUUCCCUUGAAGCAACUUGUGCCCAUUGCUGCUUCUCCUGUCAUAGUGUAUCCUUGUGAAAGGCACAUCUUUGGCACAACUAACCUUUAGGUAUUGGAAGGCAGUGAUUUGAUUUCCCCACCCUAAGCCUUCUGUUCUCAAGGAUGAGCAAGCACAGUUCAUUCGAUUGUGAAGUUCUCCAGCCCCCUAAUCUUGCUGAUCCCUCUGAACCAUCUCCAGGCUUUCAAUAUCUCUCUUGAACUGGGGGAAGGAAAACUGGACAGUGUGUUCCAGGUGUGGCCUAGCAGAUGCCAAGCAGAGUAGGAAAAUCACAUCCCUUCAUCUACCAACAAUAGUCUUACUACUUCAGUCCAGGAUGCUGCUGGCCUUCAUUGCUGCCAGGGUACAUGGCUGGUUCGUGUUCGGUUUGCCGUCUGCCAAGACACCCUGUACUUUUUCAGCAGAGCAAGUGUCCAGCCAGCCAGUGCCCAUCUGGUGCUACUGUUUGGGUUUAUUCCAUCCGAGGUUCAGGACUCGAUGUUUGUCUCUGCUGAACCUCUGAUACCUCUCUAUAUGGUGGCUUUUCCUUCCAGCACAUCUACAUCCUCUCCCAGCUUAGGCUCGUCCUCAAAUUUGGUGACAGUGCAUUCAAUCCUAUCUUCCAGAUCAUUUAUGAAGCUGAAUUGCAUUGACUCCAGAUGAACUUUAUUUAUGACCAGCUGCAACAUGACUUUGAGCCUUUAACAACAACCCUCUGAGCUCAGCAGGUUUAGUCAGUUUCUCAACCAUUUUUUGUUUCAUCUGUCCAGUCCAUAUCUUAAUGGCUUGUCAAAAAGGAUUUUGAGAGACGCUGUGUCAAACACCUUGCUAAAAUCAAGGUAGAUGAUAUCUACAACUUUCCCCUCAUCCACUGAACAACUUGGUCAAGCAUGACGGACCCUUUAUGUUUACUUUUCACAGUCAGCAUCUUGUCAUCUGUGUGCCUGGAAAUAGCUUUUGUAAGGGCCUGUUCCAUAGUUUUCUCAGGGACCGAAACAAGACCGACUAGUUUGCUGUUUCCUGGGUCUUCCUUUUUUGCCCUUUUUGUAGGUGGACAUACUAUUUUUCCUUCACCAGUAUUCAGACUGGAAGACCUCUCUCUACACAAAGCUGUUUACUCAUUGUUUUUCACUUUCCCUGCAUGGGGGAAUAAUGUGGUUGACACCAGACAAAUUGCUUAAAGCACUAUGGAUGACAACAUGCAAAGAACAGAAGGUCCUUGUGUGUAGUGAUACCAGUCCAAAUUAGUUAAACAGGACAAAUUCUGGGCUGUAAAUGGCAAUGGUUCAUGGUGACAUAUAGUCUAGAUCUAGAGAUGCCCUUGUUGAUGGUGGAAUAAUCCCAUCUGCAGAUCUAGGUGAAGUAAAGUGCAGUUCUGUGUAGCAUAAGCUAUCAUUAAUAUUAUUCUUGCAGGUUUUAUUUAGCAGGGACUGGUCUUUGGUCUAGCAUGCAUUCAGCAGUCAGGAUUUUGGCCUCUCAGCCAGUAUCUGGAAGCCAGAUCUCUCCAAGAAGGAGUGAGCUUGGUUUCACAAUGCAAUCAUGAUAUUGCAUGCUGGUGUCUGGUACCGCGAUGGGGGUCAUUAGAUGGAGCUAUCACCACCUGAGAGGUGGAUAGAGUUCUUUUAGAGGUCAGUUAUUAGCUGAAAGGUCUGGGUAAAGUUUGUACAGACCAGCGUAGUAAGUGGACUGAUGUUGAUAUCAAUAAUUAUAGAUAGCAGUAUGUGUUUAGGCAGUGCAGUUACUCAGCACUAUUACAGCAGCUGUACAGCAACGUACACUGUCAGACCUGUAUGCUUCUUUCAUGUUGCAAAACAAGCUACACAUCUUUAGCCCAGACUUUCCAGCUUUGGAAUACCAGGAGUUAUCCAAUGAUACCAUAAUAGUUGCGUUGGAACCUGCUAAUUCUACAUUUUAAUAACCACCGCAUUGACUAAGCUAGGAAAUAUGUGCUCUCCACUACCAAAGGAUAGGUUUUUCUGCUCCAGCUCAACAACUGACUAUGUCCUUCAUAUAUUAGCUGUUGGUGGCUCGUGAUCUGGCUUCUGAGAAGAGUAAGAGGAGAAUAGCAAGGGCUGAAUGGGAAAUUAUAGAAAGGCCAGGGAGGUUCACGCGAGGCCAGUGAAUGGUACUAACCUCCAAGGCAGUGAUUUGCCAAUGCGCAGCUGCACAUGGGUGUCCUUCUUCCACACCUAUGGAUUCAAAUUUUAAGGUGUAAUUGUAAUUACAAUUGUAAUUGUAAGGCAAUUGACAUGACAUUGCUUAACGCUGUUAUAAAUAUUCACAGAGCAGGUAGCUCUGAGCUGUGUUAGACUUCUUAUGUCUUUACUAAUGAAGCAUAUCCUCAAGCCUUCCCUCUAGGAGGGUGGAAAGCUGGCAUCCACCCAGGCUCUGUUAAUACAAACCCCAAGUUAUUUCAAGAUCAUAAGACGGAAAAUGUGCUUUUUUCCUCCCUUUUUCCAGUCUUUUAAUUUUUUUUUUUCACGAGAAUUAUCCAUUUCUGGUCUGGCUGGAAAGAGUCAAUAGAAAACAAGAUACCACUGAAACAUGUCAUUGCUGUACCCGUGGUCAGUAUUACAUGUGUGUACUUUAAUAGUCAGCUGAGUUUAAACAAAUACACAGAACUCCCUUUUUGACCGAGCAAAAAGUGACAGCUGUUUGUGCUGGUGUUUCCCUUGUGCUGCAGGCUGCCUGCUGGCAUUGCAGAGGAGGAACUGUUUGGGGUGUCGUUUGCUUGAAACACUUUAUCAUGCCUCCCCACGAGCCCUCCCUCCGUCUGGCUGCUUACAGGUUUUGAAUGAAAGGCCCUGUUCACACAUGCGGCAACUCGAAUUAUCUCUAAAUAAACUAGUAUAUGUGGAGAGUAAUUCAUGAGCACUUCCAGUGCAAUGAUAAAUGGCAGGCAGGGCCAGUGCGUACAAGGUUGGUGCCUCAGGGAUGUGUCUCCAUCAAGUUCUGCAAAGAUACUCUAGAAGGGUGUGGAAACAUGACCUUAAAAUAAGAGCUGUGUCUUUUGGAGGUUUACAGACCAGGCUGUAAGUGACAGACAUGCAGUAUUUCAUCUGUCACCUCUUGUCUAAUAUUGUAUCUCCAGAACUUGACAGAUACUUCGGGUUUUACCCCCGAUUUGCCCCUGUGUGAUUACCAAUCUGCUUCCUGAAAAACAAGAGUCAUCCUAGCCCUUAAAAGAUGCCUUAUACAGUCAGUUCUGAUAAAUACUAACAAUAAACGCUAAGAAUUUAUGUACUGUCCCGCUAUUUUCCAGCCCUUGCUGACAUGAUUCUUGAACUGCAGCUGAGUUUUGGCUGAAUGUAGGCCAUUGUCCUGCGAUGACCAAGAGAGAGAGGAAAAACCUGCAAAUACAAGAGCCACAGGAGGUUGUGGCAAGGUUUAUCCCAACAGGUUAAACAGGGACAAGGCAUAGCCCUGAGCAGUGCUGUAUACCUGUCCACACUGUAAGCUGUUAGCACAGCUCCAGCCCACACAGGCUAGCACUUCUCCAGACAACGCCCGAGCGCUGUCUGGGGACUUGCACUGGCCAGGGGCCAUCCCCAGUAGUAAUUUGGCUGCAGGCACCUUGUUCUGGGGAGGUGAAAGGGCUUAGCUGUCUGGAUACGAGCUGCUGGGCAGUUGACUCCAGUGCCAGGGAACAGUCCCUGGCUUGUCUUAUUUACAUGCGUGGACAAGAUGAAGGCUUUGGGAUACAGGAGCCUCAGUGGUGAGGGACAACAUAUGUGAAUUUUGCAAUUCUAGAUGCGGUUUUGAAAUACAUAUUUCUGUUGAACUUUCAGGUACUGCUUUCAGAUACUGUCUCUCUCAAAAACCCUGCACUUGCUGAAUACCUAUUAUUGCUCCCAUAUGGCAAGGAAGGGAAGAAAUCCUUCAACUUCAGAUAACAGACAUAAAAUAGUGUGAAAGAAAUGUGAAACGACUGGGGAGGAGUUUUGUUCUGAUCUACAGAGAAACUAUAGGAGAUUGAUAGAUUGCUGCUGAUACAAUUGAAAAGCACGCUGUAUCUCCCUAUUUGUGAGAAGAUGGAGAACAGAAGUAAAGACAGCUCAAAAACAUGGAAAUACCAAACAGAAAUGGUAGUCAAUCUCAUGUACAGGGUCUUACUUGUCACAUAAAAAUGUCUAGGCUUUGUCUGUACACAUCUGUACUCGUGUCUACUUCUUUAUUAGGCAUAAACUCAUAGCAAUUCACUGUAGUCAAACUGGUCAUACCUGUAGAACCUGUUGAAAAAAUGACUCUUUUUCUGCCCUUAAAUUCCCAGCUGAAAUUGAUAAAAAUAAAUAAGUAGCCUUGCCUCUAAGGAAUGAUGUUCCUGGGGAAAAAACUGUAUUGUGAUUUGAAUCAAUGCUGCAAAGCUCAUCCUGUAUAAACCAUUAGUCCUGGAAUCCAGCACAGCUGAAUUAUAGAUGAAAUGUAUUUUGGUCCAUUGCGUCAAUGUGUUGCUUGUACUGGGGAACCUGAAACUGGACACAAUGCUCCAGAUGCAAUCUUAUGAGUGUCAGAAAAAAGGGAAUGAUGCCUUCUUUCAACUUACAGUUGUCUCAUCAUAGAAGGUAGCCUGGCUGGACAGCCAAAAGAUUAACAGCACUCUGCUUGUCUACACUGACCAUGCCAGGUUACCUUCAGAGGAGUUAGCAUGUCUUUGGCUAAGGCACUAAGGCUAGAAAUAUGACUUGAAAAGUAGAAGGUGGCCUGGGUUCUGCUUGUAUACGUAGUUGUAUCUGCAUGACCUCUUAAAAUGGAGUCCCAUGAGCAUAGGGUGUGUGGUCAAGAGCCAAGUAUGUGACAAGAUCUAAAGGUAGGAGGGAUUUGUCUGGUAUCUCAGAGGGCUUAGGGUGUAGGAUGGUCCUUUCUCAGUUCUGAAUGGUCUUCAUACAUGGUUCUGUAUCCAUCCAGGCUUUUGUAUCUUCUGCUUUUUAACAAAACUAGCCUUGAAUGAAGGGGCAUGAUACUUGACUCAGGCAUCUUGAUAUAGCUGAACUGCUCUAGCUAGUGGAACUGCACAAGGGUUUACAAUGUUUAUGCUGAAGUGAAUAAAUUAGUAGCCCUAAAGUGCUGAAAACAAACACUUUGGGAUAAAUUGAGAGGAUGGGAAAAAUGCCCCCUCUCCUUGCCUUGCAUCAUCUCACAUUCCAUCCUUUGACUAUGCUCACCAAGGUAGGUGAAGGGGAUCGAUAGAUGGAGGAGGUUAUAAGGCUCUUGUCAUGUUCCCAAGGUCUGAAAUCCGUUUAAAAAAAUGUGUGCAGCCACAAAGCAACCUGAGAGCCUGUCUUCUCAGGCUGGGAGGUCUGAGCACUGCCAAAGGAUUCUGGCCCCCUCUCCCAGCCUGAUGCUUUGAAAGAAUAACAUUUGGCUCCAUGAUACUGCGGGUCUGUUGACUUGUGCUUAUAUGUUUGUGCUUGGAUGUGUGCACAACUCAAAAGCAGGUCUGAGGUUAAGUAAAGCCCCUUGCUUGGUGGGAAAGCUUGAUCAACAUGUCACAGAACAUGACAACUUCCAUAAUGGUUUUUAAAAAAUGCAUAUGGGAUUAGCUGCCAGCUUCCAGGGGAGGGAUAUGUGGUAACCACUUGAAAUAUCUAACUUCUGGGCUCUGCCCUCAUCUCCACAGCAGUUUUGAGCAAAUCAUUUGAUUUCUCUAUGCCAGCCAGUUGAUCUGUAAUACUGUACUCUUUAUCUGACAACUUUGAGUGUUGUGUGGCUUAUUGAAGGUCUUUUCAUGUCAGAGACUUAAUGUAGGCUUUAGUGAUUUUUUUUUUUAAUGUUCAAAUUGAAAAUUAAUGCCUUUUUUUCCUUCUUUCUGUCUGUAUGAAAAGACAUUUAAUACUUCUGAAAAUUUACUCCUUUUAUUGUGUCUUAAUUCAGGCAUUUAAAACCAUGGCCCAUUUUGAAUUUAGGCCAAACACCCCUGCCAUGGCAUGACACAGUUUUCUCUUGGUUGUGCAAACAACCUAACUCAGCACAAAUGAGUACGGAGGUGAGAGUGAUAAGAAGAUGGGAUGUUACAUAUCUUGGCUGCAAGGAUAUAACAAAGGUUUGUCCUGUGUACAUUAGUUGGAGCCAUGCUCAUAUGUUCCUCCGAGACAGUGAGUUUUGCUCUUUAUGAAAGGCGUGUGUAAGCAUGAAGUACUGGAAAUAAAAAGACAGCUGA
Molecule: non-coding RNA, 21141 nt
Organism: Phalacrocorax carbo (great cormorant)
Lineage: Eukaryota; Metazoa; Chordata; Aves; Suliformes; Phalacrocoracidae
Source: RefSeq, a predicted model, not a curated record